This 492-nucleotide ribosomal RNA is filed under the name uncultured bacterium. Its description in RNAcentral is "partial 16S ribosomal RNA". It matches the Rfam family "Bacterial small subunit ribosomal RNA", at positions 29 to 507 of the family's 1533-position model. The record is from RNAcentral.
AGUGAACGCUGGCGGUAGGCCUAACACAUGCAAGUCGAACGGCAGCACAGUAAUUUCUUGCUCUUACGGGUGGCGAGUGGCGGACGGGUGAGGAAUACAUCGGAAUCUACUUUUUCUUGGGUGUUAACGUAUGGAAACUUACGCUAAUACCUCAUACGACCUACGGGUUAAAUCAUUGGAUCUUCGGACCUUGCGCGAUUUAUUUAGCCGAUGUGGGAUUAGCUAGUUGGCGUGGUAAAGGCCCACCAAGGCGACGAUCCGUAGCUGGUCUGAGAGGAUGAUAAGCAAAACUGGAAGUGAGACACGGACCAGAGUCCUACGGGAGGAAGCAGUGGGGAAUAUUGGACAAUGGGCGCAAGCAUGAUACAGCAAUACCGCGUGGGUGAAGAAGGCCUUCGGGUUGUAAAGACCUUUUGUUGGGAAAGAAAAGCAGCAGGUUAAUACAAAGAUGUUAUGACGGUACCAAAAGAAUAAGCACCGGCUAACUUCGUG